Molecule: ribosomal RNA, 516 nt
Filed under: uncultured bacterium
Lineage: Bacteria
Description: bacterial SSU rRNA
Rfam family: Bacterial small subunit ribosomal RNA
Source: RNAcentral
UAGUCCACGCCGUAAACGAUGUCAACUAGCCGUUGGGUCCAUUUAAGGGCUUAGUGGCGCAGCUAACGCGAUAAGUUGACCGCCUGGGGAGUACGCCGGCAACGGUAAAACUCAAAUGAAUUGACGGGGGCCCGCACAAGCGGUGGAGCAUGUGGUUUAAUUCGAUGCAACGCGAAAAACCUUACCUACCCUUGACAUGCCUGUUUCGGGAUCUGGAGACAGAUCCUUUCAGUUCGGCUGGACAGUGCACAGGUGCUGCAUGGCUGUCGUCAGCUCGUGUCAUGAGAUGUUGGGUUAAGUCCCGUAACGAGCGCAACCCUUGUCCUUAGUUGCCAGCGCGUAAUGGCGGGGACUCUAGGGAGACUGCCGGUGACAAACCGGAGGAAGGUGGGGAUGACGUCAAGUCAUCAUGGCCCUUAUGGGCAGGGCUACACACGUGCUACAAUGGUCGGUACAGAGGGUUGCAAAACCGCGAGGUUGAGCUAAUCCCAGAAAACCGAUCGUAGUCCGGAUUGC